Molecule: ribosomal RNA, 55 nt
Filed under: Phacidiella eucalypti
Lineage: Eukaryota; Fungi; Ascomycota; Lecanoromycetes; Ostropales; Stictidaceae
Description: partial 18S ribosomal RNA
Source: RNAcentral
AGUAUUAUUAUCGUGGUAGCCAUUGUUCCGUAGGUGAACCUGCGGAAGGAUCAUU